This 507-nucleotide long non-coding RNA is filed under the name Olea europaea subsp. europaea. The record is from RNAcentral. Lineage: Eukaryota; Viridiplantae; Streptophyta; Magnoliopsida; Lamiales; Oleaceae.
CUUGGAUGAAGUGGCACGUGGCCUUAUCUCCUUGGUUUAAACGUCUGUUCUUAGGCAUGGGAUUUGACUCGCUAGCUUACGGCGCAUUUAUUGCUUGUGCAGGGCCUCCAUGCUAGUGACAAGACUUGACCUUUAUGCUUAUGACAAACAUUCCAUCAAUCAUUCGAAUAAGAUCCGUGCAGGCGAUCUCUUGGGAGAAGUGACCAUGGAGGAUGCUUGUGGUUGAGGCUCGCGAAUCAACUUCGGGGCUUCGUCUUCCAAGCCUCGGGCCAUGGGCCUCGGUUAGAAGCAGCUCGGAUAUAACCCACCUCGGUAAUAUGGGCCACCUCGACAGGAAUGCCACGUGGAUCAGGAUGAGUGGGCCACUGGCCCAAGUGGGUAGGACAGGUGUGACAACACGCAACAAUAGUCCCCCAAGUCCAAGUAUAAUCAUUAAUGUAAUGCGUGGACUUUAGAGUAAAAAAAUUUUUGAACCCCCAAAUAAUAGUCCACCAAGUUCAAGUAUAG